This 245-nucleotide ribosomal RNA is filed under the name uncultured bacterium. RNAcentral describes it as "partial 16S ribosomal RNA". It matches the Rfam family "Bacterial small subunit ribosomal RNA", at positions 524 to 768 of the family's 1533-position model. The record is from RNAcentral.
GACGAAGGUGGCAAGCGUUGUUCGGAAUCACUGGGCUUAAAGCGCACGUAGGCUGCUCAUCAAGUGUCUUGUGAAAUCCCCCGGCUCAACCGAGGAAUUGCUUGGCAGACUGAUGGGCUUGAGGCAGGUAAGGGCGAGUGGAACUCUUGGUGGAGCGGUGAAAUGCGUAGAUAUCAAGAGGAACGCCGGUGGUGAAGACGACUCGCUGGGCCUGUCCUGACGCUGAGGUGCGAAAGCCAGGGGAG